AUGAAGCUGGAGGUGUCGCCGAGGCAGAGGACCCAAGAAGCAGAGCAGAACGAGGGCGUCGCCGUGGAGCCAUGGAAGCACCCGAAGCAGCUCUGCGCUAGCCUGGGCUACGGGGAGGAGGAGGCGUCACGGCUGGUGCCGCCGCUCAACUUCGGCAUGGUCGACGACGGCGUCUUCCGGUCGGGGUUCCCCGACGCGGCCAACUUCCGGUUCCUCGCGUCCCUCAACCUGCGCUCCGUCGUGUACCUGUGCCCGGAGCCGUACCCGGAGCAGAACGCGCGGUUCCUGGGGCGCAGCGGGAUCAAGCUCCACCACUUCGGAAUCCAGGGCCGCAAGGAACCGUUUGUCGACAUCCCCGAAGAAACGAUCCGCGAGGCGCUCAAAGUCAUCCUUGACGUGAGAAACCACCCGGUGCUCAUCCACUGCAAGAGAGGCAAGGUAUAUUCUGCACCCUAUACACCUCAUACAGCACUUUCUAAUGAAAAUCAUAACCAUGUGCUUCUCUCAGCACCGUACCGGCUGCGUGGUGGGCUGCCUGAGGAAGCUGCACAAGUGGCGCCUGUCCUCCGUCUUCGACGAGUACCUGCACUUCGCGGCGGCCAAGGCGAGGAAAACCGACCAGCGGUUCAUGGAGCUCUUCGACACGUCAAGCCUGGUGCAUCUGCUCGCCUCGCAGUGUUGAUGAAAGCGAGCGAGCGUUUUUCCUUUCUCUUUUAG
This 717-nucleotide ribosomal RNA is filed under the name Triticum aestivum (bread wheat). Its description in RNAcentral is "partial small subunit ribosomal RNA". The record is from RNAcentral. Lineage: Eukaryota; Viridiplantae; Streptophyta; Magnoliopsida; Poales; Poaceae.